UUGCUUAUGUUUUCAUAACUAUUUACGUUACUUUUGUAGGAGUACCUAUGUUUUAUUAUUUGAUUUAGUCUUGCUUGUGUUUCUAAUUUUAUCUCUGUUUCUUAAUGCAGCUUCCCCAUUUUUACUCUACUCGGCGAGGGUCGAUUGGAAGCAGCCUCUCUGCCCUUUCGGGCAGGGGUAAGGCUCGUCUACAUAUUACCCUCCCCAGACCCCACCUGAUGGGA
This 224-nucleotide long non-coding RNA is filed under the name Nicotiana benthamiana. Its description in RNAcentral is "long non-coding RNA (NBEN_LNC042075)". The record is from RNAcentral. Lineage: Eukaryota; Viridiplantae; Streptophyta; Magnoliopsida; Solanales; Solanaceae.